This 1537-nucleotide ribosomal RNA is filed under the name Kushneria phyllosphaerae. RNAcentral's name for it is "bacterial SSU rRNA". It matches the Rfam family "Bacterial small subunit ribosomal RNA". The record is from RNAcentral. Lineage: Bacteria; Pseudomonadati; Pseudomonadota; Gammaproteobacteria; Oceanospirillales; Halomonadaceae.
CUGAAGAGUUUGAUCAUGGCUCAGAUUGAACGCUGGCGGCAGGCCUAACACAUGCAAGUCGAGCGGUAACAGGGGUAGCUUGCUACCCGCUGACGAGCGGCGGACGGGUGAGUAAUGCAUGGGUAUCUGCCCGGUAGUGGGGGAUAACUCGGGGAAACCCGAGCUAAUACCGCAUACGUCCUACGGGAGAAAGCAGGGGAUCUUCGGACCUUGCGCUAUCGGAUGAGCCCAUGUCGGAUUAGCUUGUUGGUGAGGUAACGGCUCACCAAGGCGACGAUCCGUAGCUGGUCUGAGAGGAUGAUCAGCCACACCGGGACUGAGACACGGCCCGGACUCCUACGGGAGGCAGCAGUGGGGAAUAUUGGACAAUGGGGGAAACCCUGAUCCAGCCAUGCCGCGUGUGUGAAGAAGGCCUUCGGGUUGUAAAGCACUUUCAGUGGGGAAGAAGGCAUGAUGAUUAAUACUCGUCAUGAAGGACAUCACCCACAGAAGAAGCACCGGCUAACUCCGUGCCAGCAGCCGCGGUAAUACGGAGGGUGCAAGCGUUAAUCGGAAUUACUGGGCGUAAAGGGCGCGUAGGCGGCUUGCCAAGCCGGAUGUGAAAGCCCCGGGCUCAACCCGGGAACGGCAUUCGGAACUGGUAGGCUAGAGUGCAGGAGAGGAAGGUGGAAUUCCCGGUGUAGCGGUGAAAUGCGUAGAGAUCGGGAGGAAUACCAGUGGCGAAGGCGGCCUUCUGGACUGACACUGACGCUGAGGCGCGAAAGCGUGGGUAGCAAACAGGAUUAGAUACCCUGGUAGUCCACGCCGUAAACGAUGUCGACCAGCCGUUGGACCCCUUGAGGGUUUGGUGGCGCAGUUAACGCAAUAAGUCGACCGCCUGGGGAGUACGGCCGCAAGGCUAAAACUCAAAUGAAUUGACGGGGGCCCGCACAAGCGGUGGAGCAUGUGGUUUAAUUCGAUGCAACGCGAAGAACCUUACCUGCUCUUGACAUCCUGCGAAUUCCUCAGAGAUGAGGAAGUGCCUUCGGGAGCGCAGAGACAGGUGCUGCAUGGCUGUCGUCAGCUCGUGUUGUGAAAUGUUGGGUUAAGUCCCGUAACGAGCGCAACCCCUAUCCCUUUUUGCCAGCGCGUAAUGGCGGGAACUUCAGGGAGACUGCCGGUGACAAACCGGAGGAAGGUGGGGACGACGUCAAGUCAUCAUGGCCCUUACGAGCAGGGCUACACACGUGCUACAAUGGCCGGUACAAAGGGUUGCGAAGCGGCGACGUGAAGCCAAUCCCAGAAAGCCGGCCUCAGUCCGGAUCGGAGUCUGCAACUCGACUCCGUGAAGUCGGAAUCGCUAGUAAUCGUGGAUCAGAAUGCCACGGUGAAUACGUUCCCGGGCCUUGUACACACCGCCCGUCACACCAUGGGAGUGGACUGCACCAGAAGUGGUUAGCUUAACCUUCGGGAGAGCGAUCACCACGGUGUGGUUCAUGACUGGGGUGAAGUCGUAACAAGGUAGCCGUAGGGGAACCUGCGGCUGGAUCACCUCCUU